GCCGGGGUGGCGGAAUUGGUAGACGCAAGGGACUUAAAAUCCCUCGGUUACUAAAGUGACCGUGCCGGUUCGAUUCCGGCCCUCGGCA
RNAcentral lists this transfer RNA (88 nucleotides) under Candidatus Zhuqueibacterota bacterium. Its description in RNAcentral is "candidate division KSB1 bacterium (activated sludge metagenome) tRNA-Leu". It matches the Rfam family "tRNA". Rfam says of the family: Transfer RNA (tRNA) molecules are approximately 80 nucleotides in length. The record is from RNAcentral. Lineage: Bacteria; Pseudomonadati.